Molecule: ribosomal RNA, 1374 nt
Filed under: metagenome
Description: bacterial LSU rRNA
Rfam family: Bacterial large subunit ribosomal RNA
Source: RNAcentral
CCGAGCCGCUUCAGGCGAAGUCAUUGAUCCUAUGCUGCCUAGAAAAGCCCAGCAGCGAGUUGACAUGGUGCCCGUACCCCAAACCAACACAGGUGGACAGGUAGAGCAUACCAAGGCGAGUGGGAUAACUAUGGUUAAGGAACUCGGCAAAUUGCCUCCGUAACUUCGGGAGAAGGAGGACCCCAGUAGCGUGAUGAGACUUGCUCUCUGAGCGUGAAGGGGUGGCACAAAAUUGAGGGAAGCGACUGUUUACCAAAAACACAGCAGCGUGCUAAGCCGUAAGGCGCUGUAUACGCUGUGACUCCUGCCCGGUGCUGGAAGGUUACGGGGAUGGGUUAGUCCUUCGGGACGAAGCUCUGAACCUAAGCCCCAGUAAACGGCGGCCGUAACUAUAACGGUCCUAAGGUAGCGAAAUUCCUUGUCGGGUAAGUUCCGACCUGCACGAAUGGAGUAACGACUUCCCUACUGUCUCAACCAUAGACCCAGCGAAAUUGAAGUACGAGUAAAGAUGCUCGUUAGCUGCAGAAGGACGGAAAGACCCCGUGGACCUUUACUAUAACUUGAUGUUGUGUUUUGUCAUAUGUUGUGUAGGAUAGGUGGGAGACUUGGAAGCAUGGACGCUAGUCUGUGUGGAGUCAUCGUUGAAAUACCACCCUGCAUAUGGUGAGGCUCUAACCUAGACCCGUUAUCCGGGUUGGGGACAGCGUCAGGCGGGUAGUUUAACUGGGGCGGUUGCCUCCUAAAGAGUAACGGAGGCGCCCAAAGGUUCCCUCAGCCUGGUUGGCAAUCAGGCGUUGAGUGCAAUGGCAAAAGGGAGCUUGACUGCGAGACCUACAAGUCGAGCAGGAGCGAAAGCUGGGAUAGUGAUCCGGCGGUUGCGUGUGGAAGCGCCGUCGCUCAACGGAUAAAAGGUACCCCGGGGAUAACAGGCUAAUCUUGCCCAAGCGUCCAUAGCGACGGCAAGGUUUGGCACCUCGAUGUCGGCUCAUCGCAUCCUGGGGCUGAAGCAGGUCCCAAGGGUUGGGCUGUUCGCCCAUUAAAGCGGUACGCGAGCUGGGUUCAGAACGUCGUGAGACAGUUCGGUCCCUAUCCUCUGCAGCCGGAGGUGAAUUGAGGAAAGCUGUCCCUAGUACGAGAGGACCGGGACGGACGCAGCUCUCGUGUGCCAGUUGUCCUGCCAAGGGCAUGGCUGGUUAGCGACCUGCGGAAAGGAUAACCGCUGAAAGCAUCUAAGCGGGAAGCCUCUUCCAAGAUGAAUUCACCCACAGGGUUAACCUGGUAAGGCCCGUGGUAGACCACCACGUUGAUAGGCCGGAAGUGUAAGCGUGGCAACACGUUCAGCUGACCGGUACUAAUCGGCCGAGGGCUUGAGUC